AGUGAAUAGAUACCCGGGUAGUCCUAGCCGUAAACGAUACUCGCUAGGUGUCGGCCACGGUGCGACCGUUGUCGGUGCCGUAGGGAAAGCCGUGAAGCGAGCCACCUGGGAAGUACGGCCGCAAGGCUGAAACUUAAAGGAAUUAGCGGGGGAGCACCACAACGGGUGGAGCUUGCGGUUUAAUUGGAUUCAACGCCGGAAAUCUUACCGGGACCGACAGCAAUAUGAAGGCCAGGCUGAAGACUUUGCCGGAUUAGCUGAGAGGUGGUGCAUGGCCGUCGUCAGUUCGUACUGUGAAAGCAUCCUGUUAAGUCAGGCAACGAGCGAGACCCACGCCCACAGUUGCCAGCGUACUCUCCGGAGUGACGGGUACACUGUGGGGACCGCCGCUGCUAAAGCGGAGGAAGGAAUGGGCAACGGUAGGUCAGUAUGCCCCGAAUAUCCCGGGCUACACGCGAGCUACAAUGGUUGGUACAAUGGGUAUCCACCCCGAAAGGGGAUGGUAAUCUCCUAAAUCCAAUCUUAGUCCGGAUUGAGGGCUGCAACUCGCCCUC
Molecule: ribosomal RNA, 554 nt
Filed under: uncultured bacterium
Lineage: Bacteria
Description: bacterial SSU rRNA
Rfam family: Archaeal small subunit ribosomal RNA
Source: RNAcentral